This 1527-nucleotide long non-coding RNA is filed under the name Phasianus colchicus (ring-necked pheasant). RNAcentral's name for it is "lncRNA (ENSPCLG00000019781.1)". Lineage: Eukaryota; Metazoa; Chordata; Aves; Galliformes; Phasianidae. The record is from RNAcentral.
AUGCACUAUUUGGGAUUCCCAUCAUCCUGUCUCCAUUUUGGGGCAUAUUUUGGGGUCAGCGAGUCCUAUUUAGGAUUCCCUCUGUCCCAUCUCCAUUUUGGGGUCGUGAUGCACUAUUUAGGAUUCCCAUCAUCCCGUCUCCAUUUUGGGGCACAUUUUGGGGUCAGUGAGCCCUAUUUAGGAUUCCCUCUGUCCCAUUACCAUUUUGGGGUCAUGAUGCACUAUUUAGGGUUCCCAUCAUCCCAUGUCCAUUUUGGGGCACAUUUUGGGGUCAUGGUGCACUAUUUGGGAUUCCCUCUUUCCCACCCCCAUUUUGGGGCACAUUUUAGGAUCAGCAAGCCCUAUUUCAGAUUCCCUCUGUCCCACCCCCAUUUUGGGGCACAUUUUGGGGUCAGCGAGCCCUAUUUAGGGUUCCCUCUUUCCCACCCCCAUUUUGGGGCACAUUUUGGGGUCGUGAUGCCCUAUUUGGGUUUCCCUCUUUCCCACCACCAUUUUGGGGCCCAUUUUGGGGUCAGUGAGCCCUAUUUAGGAUUCCCUCUGUCCCAUUACCAUUUUGGGGUCAUGAUGCACUAUUUAGGAUUCCCAUCAUCCCAUCCCCAUUUUGGGGCACGUUUUGGGGUCAGCGAGCCCUAUUUAGGAUUCCCUCUUUCCCACCCCCAUUUUGGGGCACAUUUUGGGGUCGUGAUGCACUAUUUGGGAUUCCCUCUGUCCCAUUACCAUUUUGGGGUCAUGAUGCACUAUUUGGGAUUCCCAUCAUCCUGUCUCCAUUUUGGGGCACAUUUUGGGGUCGUGAUGCUCUAUUUGGGAUUCCCUCUGUCCCGCCACCAUUUUGGGGCACAUUUUGGGGUCAGCGAGCCCUAUUUAGGAUUCCCUCCGUCCCAUCACCAUUUUGGGGUCGUGAUGCACUAUUUAGGAUUCCCAUCAUCCCGUCUCCAUUUUGGGGCACAUUUUGGGGUCGUGAUGCACUAUUUGGGUUUCCCUCUUUCCCACCCCCGUUUUUGGGCACAUUUUGGGAUCAGCGAGCCCUAUUUCGGAUUCCCUCUUUCCCAUCACCAUUUUGGGGCACAUUUUGGGGUCAGCGAGCCCUAUUUAGGAUUCCCUCUUUCCCAUCACCAUUUUGGGGUCGUGAUGCACUAUUUGGGAUUCCCUCUGUCCCAUUACCAUUUUGGGAUCAGCGAGCCCUAUUUAGGGUUCCCUCUUUCCCACCCCCAUUUUGGGGCACAUUUUGGGGUCAGCGAGCCCUAUUUGGGAUUCCCUCUUUCCCCCCCCCACUUUGGGGCCCAUUUUGGGAUCAGCGAGCCCUCUUUAGGCUUCCCUCAACCCCAUCCCCACUUUAGUUUCGUGACGCGCUCUUUCCAACCCCCCCUCCUUCCCAUCCCCUUUUCGCUUCUCGCUUUGGGUUUUUCGGGUCUCCCUCACCCCCCCUACCUCCCCCCAACCCCUUUUUUACCUUUCCCCCCCCCACCCCACAGGCCGACAGCUCACCAUCUUCAACAGCCAGGCAGCCGUUCGGGUUGGGGGCCGUGA